AUACGGAGGGUGCAAGCGUUAUUCGGAAUCACUGGGCGUAAAGGACGCGUAGGCGGGUUGGCAAGUCAGAUGUGAAAUCCUACAGCUUAACCGUAGAACUGCAUUUGAAACUGCUAACCUAGAGUAUGGGAGGGGGAGAUGGAAUUAGUGGUGUAGGGGUAAAAUCCGUAGAUAUCACUAGGAAUACCGAAAGCGAAGGCGAUCUCCUGGAACAUAACUGACGCUAAGGCGUGAAAGCGUGGGGAGCAAACAGGAUUAGAAACCCUAGUAGUCC
RNAcentral lists this ribosomal RNA (274 nucleotides) under uncultured bacterium. Its description in RNAcentral is "partial 16S ribosomal RNA". It matches the Rfam family "Bacterial small subunit ribosomal RNA", at positions 523 to 796 of the family's 1533-position model. The record is from RNAcentral.